RNAcentral lists this ribosomal RNA (545 nucleotides) under Lyria sp. MNHN-IM-2009-7377. Its description in RNAcentral is "partial 12S ribosomal RNA". Lineage: Eukaryota; Metazoa; Mollusca; Gastropoda; Neogastropoda; Volutidae. The record is from RNAcentral.
UAUACUAAGGGGUUAAGUUAUGUGAAAUAGGUAAAAAUGCAGUUAAAUAAUUAAGCUAAGUAAUAUGAUUUUACAUAAAAAAGUGAAAUUUAGAUAUAUAUAAAUAAUCUAGUAAUUGCUUUAAGAUUGAUUCUGCGAAAGUCUUGAGGGAAACUGGGAUUAGAUACCCCAUUAUUCUUGAUUAUAAAUUAACUAAGUUUACCAGAGUACUAUGAACUUUAAAGUUUAAAACUCAAAGAGCUUGGCGGUGUUCUAGACUUUUUAGGGGAACCUGUCUCAUAAUCGACAAUCCACGUUAAACCUAACCUUUAUUAGUUUAUCAGUUUGUAUACCAUCGUCGGCAGGUAACUUUUAAAAAAUUAGAAGUUAGCAACAAAAGCUUAUUAGCUAAUACGUCAGAUCAAGGUGCAGCCGAUAUAAAGGUGAGGAUGGGUUACAAUUAUGAAAUUAUAAUUACGGAAAUAUAGUAGAAAAACUAUAUUAGAAGGAGGACUUAAAAGUAAAAUAAAUUACAUAAAUAUUUUGAAUAUAGCUCUGGGACGUGC